RNAcentral lists this ribosomal RNA (430 nucleotides) under Pseudomonadota bacterium. RNAcentral describes it as "Proteobacteria bacterium partial 16S ribosomal RNA". It matches the Rfam family "Bacterial small subunit ribosomal RNA", at positions 355 to 776 of the family's 1533-position model. The record is from RNAcentral. Lineage: Bacteria; Pseudomonadati; Pseudomonadota.
UGGGGAAUAUUGGACAAUGGGCGCAAGCCUGAUCCAGCCAUGCCGCGUGUGUGAAGAAGGCCUUAUGGUUGUAAAGCACUUUAAGCGAGGAGGAGGCUACUAUAGUUAAUACCUAGAGAUAGUGGACGUUACUCGCAGAAUAAGCACCGGCUAACUCUGUGCCAGCAGCCGCGGUAAUACAGAGGGUGCGAGCGUUAAUCGGAUUUACUGGGCGUAAAGCGUGCGUAGGCGGCUAAUUGAGUCGGAUGUGAAAUCCCCGAGCUUAACUUGGGAAUUGCAUUCGAUACUGGUUAGCUAGAGUGUGGGAGAGGAUGGUAGAAUUCCAGGUGUAGCGGUGAAAUGCGUAGGGAUCUGGAGGAAUACCGAUGGCGAAGGCAGCCAUCUGGCCUAACACUGACGCUGAGGUACGAAAGCAUGGGGAGCAAACAGG